AUCGACGACACGGGGUGUCGGCAACAGGCCGGCUGAGAUCACACCCGUUGAACCUGCUCCAGUUCACACUGGCGAAGGGAUGGUCGAAUGUCUGCUGC
Molecule: regulatory RNA element, 98 nt
Organism: Williamsia sterculiae
Lineage: Bacteria; Bacillati; Actinomycetota; Actinomycetes; Mycobacteriales; Nocardiaceae
Rfam family: TPP riboswitch aptamer (THI element)
About the family: Vitamin B(1) in its active form thiamin pyrophosphate (TPP) is an essential coenzyme that is synthesised by coupling of pyrimidine and thiazole moieties in bacteria.
Source: Rfam